This 1436-nucleotide ribosomal RNA is filed under the name uncultured organism. RNAcentral describes it as "SSU rRNA". It matches the Rfam family "Bacterial small subunit ribosomal RNA". The record is from RNAcentral.
UCUACAGGCUUAACACAUGCAAGUCGAGGGGCAUCAGGAAGAAAGCUUGCUUUCUUCGCUGGCGACCGGCGCACGGGUGAGUAACACGUAUCCAACCUGCCCUUUACUCGGGGAUAGCCUUUCGAAAGAAAGAUUAAUACCCGAUGGCAUAAUGAUUCCGCAUGGUUUGAUUAUUAAAGGAUUCCGGUAAAGGAUGGGGAUGCGUUCCAUUAGGUUGUUGGUGAGGUAACGGCUCACCAAGCCUUCGAUGGAUAGGGGUUCUGAGAGGAAGGUCCCCCACAUUGGAACUGAGACACGGUCCAAACUCCUACGGGAGGCAGCAGUGAGGAAUAUUGGUCAAUGGGCGCUAGCCUGAACCAGCCAAGUAGCGUGAAGGAUGAAGGCUCUAUGGGUCGUAAACUUCUUUUAUAUAAGAAUAAAGUGCAGUAUGUAUACUGUUUUGUAUGUAUUAUAUGAAUAAGGAUCGGCUAACUCCGUGCCAGCAGCCGCGGUAAUACGGAGGAUCCGAGCGUUAUCCGGAUUUAUUGGGUUUAAAGGGAGCGUAGGUGGACUGGUAAGUCAGUUGUGAAAGUUUGCGGCUCAACCGUAAAAUUGCAGUUGAUACUGUCAGUCUUGAGUACAGUAGAGGUGGGCGGAAUUCGUGGUGUAGCGGUGAAAUGCUUAGAUAUCACGAAGAACUCCGAUUGCGAAGGCAGCUCACUGGACUGCAACUGACACUGAUGCUCGAAAGUGUGGGUAUCAAACAGGAUUAGAUACCCUGGUAGUCCACACAGUAAACGAUGAAUACUCGCUGUUUGCGAUAUACAGUAAGCGGCCAAGCGAAAGCAUUAAGUAUUCCACCUGGGGAGUACGCCGGCAACGGUGAAACUCAAAGGAAUUGACGGGGGCCCGCACAAGCGGAGGAACAUGUGGUUUAAUUCGAUGAUACGCGAGGAACCUUACCCGGGCUUAAAUUGCAGUGGAAUGAUGUGGAAACAUGUCAGUGAGCAAUCACCGCUGUGAAGGUGCUGCAUGGUUGUCGUCAGCUCGUGCCGUGAGGUGUCGGCUUAAGUGCCAUAACGAGCGCAACCCUUAUCUUUAGUUACUAACAGGUCAUGCUGAGGACUCUAGAGAGACUGCCGUCGUAAGAUGUGAGGAAGGUGGGGAUGACGUCAAAUCAGCACGGCCCUUACGUCCGGGGCUACACACGUGUUACAAUGGGGGGUACAGAAGGCAGCUAGCGGGUGACCGUAUGCUAAUCCCAAAAUCCUCUCUCAGUUCGGAUCGAAGUCUGCAACCCGACUUCGUGAAGCUGGAUUCGCUAGUAAUCGCGCAUCAGCCACGGCGCGGUGAAUACGUUCCCGGGCCUUGUACACACCGCCCGUCAAGCCAUGGGAGCCGGGGGUACCUGAAGUACGUAACCGCAAGGAUCGUCCUAGGGUAAAACUGGUGACUGG